RNAcentral lists this transfer RNA (64 nucleotides) under Staphylinidae sp. BMNH 1274219. Its description in RNAcentral is "tRNA-Gly". Lineage: Eukaryota; Metazoa; Arthropoda; Insecta; Coleoptera; Staphylinidae. The record is from RNAcentral.
AUUUAAGUAGUAUAAAAAUUAUAAUUGAUUUCCAAUCAAUAGAUCUAAAUAUUUAGCUUAAAUA